AUGAACGCUAGCUACAGGCUUAACACAUGCAAGUCGCGGGGCAGCAUGGGGGUUGCUUGCAAUCCCCGAUGGCGACCGGCGCACGGGGGAGUAACGCGUAUCCAACCUGCCCUUCACCACGGGAUAACCCGGCGAAAGUCGGACUAAUACCGGAUGUUGUCCAUUGACGGCAUCCGAUGUGGACGAAAGGUUGGGCGGUGAAGGAGGGGGAUGCGGCCGAUUAGCUGGACGGCGGGGUGCCGGCCCACCGUGGCGACGAUCGGGAGGGGCUCUGAGAGGAAGGCACCCCACACUGGAGCUGCGACACGGUCCAGACUCCUACGGGAGGCAGCAGUGUGGUAUAUUGGUCACUGGGCGUAAGCCUGAACCAGCCAAGUAGCGUGCAGGAUGCCGGCCCUAUGGGUUGUAACCUGCUUUUAUGCGGGGAUAACGUGGCCCACGUGUGGGUUUUUGCCGGUACCGCAUGAAUAAGGACCGGCUAAUUCCGUG
RNAcentral lists this ribosomal RNA (489 nucleotides) under uncultured bacterium. RNAcentral describes it as "partial 16S ribosomal RNA". It matches the Rfam family "Bacterial small subunit ribosomal RNA", at positions 29 to 507 of the family's 1533-position model. The record is from RNAcentral.